AACGAACGCUGGCGGCAUGCCUAACACAUGCAAGUCGAGCGCCCGUAGCAAUACGGGAGCGGCGCACGGGUGAGUAGCGCGUGGGAACCUGCCCAGAGGUUCGGGACAACCGCGGGAAACUGCGGCUGAUACCGGAUGAUGCCUGAGGGCCAAAGAUUUAUCGCCUUUGGAGGGGCCCGCGUCGGAUUAGGUAGUUGGUGAGGUAACGGCUCACCAAGCCUGUGAUCCGAGCUGGUCUGAGAGGAUGAUCAGCCACACUGGGACUGAGACACGGCCCAGACUCCUACGGGAGGCAGCAGUGGGGAGUAUUGGACAAUGGGGGCGACCCUCGAUCCAGCAAUGCCGCGUGGGUGAUGAAGGCCUCGGUUG
RNAcentral lists this ribosomal RNA (369 nucleotides) under uncultured bacterium. RNAcentral describes it as "bacterial SSU rRNA". It matches the Rfam family "Bacterial small subunit ribosomal RNA", at positions 28 to 425 of the family's 1533-position model. The record is from RNAcentral.